This 276-nucleotide long non-coding RNA is filed under the name Mytilus galloprovincialis (Mediterranean mussel). Lineage: Eukaryota; Metazoa; Mollusca; Bivalvia; Mytilida; Mytilidae. The record is from RNAcentral.
CGGAAUGGUCUAAAUAUAUUUCUAUUUCACCAAAAGUUUGAUUUUUGAAAAUUUGUUGGUCCUUGAUUAAGUAAACAAGUAAACAAGGACAUCGAAAGCACUACUUUGUGUCAGAGUAAGGCUACUUUUACAUACGUUCUACAGUGGAGGGAGUAAUUGGUGGUGUGACACCAGCAGAUCAAAUUAACGCAGAUUUUAGUAUUUUCAUAUCACACUCUGUGUAGUGAUGAUACGAGAAAUUUCUAUUCAUGCAAAAAAUAGAUAAUAAGACACAAC